This 395-nucleotide ribosomal RNA is filed under the name Candidatus Williamhamiltonella defendens. RNAcentral's name for it is "bacterial SSU rRNA". It matches the Rfam family "Bacterial small subunit ribosomal RNA", at positions 27 to 412 of the family's 1533-position model. Lineage: Bacteria; Pseudomonadati; Pseudomonadota; Gammaproteobacteria; Enterobacterales; Enterobacteriaceae. The record is from RNAcentral.
GAUUGAACGCUGGUGGCAGGCCUAACACAUGCAAGUCGAGCGGCAUCGAGUGAUCGCAGUUUACUGAGUUCAUGUCGGCGAGCGGCGGACGGGUGAGUAAAGUCUGGGAAUCUGGCCGAAGGAGGGGGAUAACUGCUGGAAACGGCAGCUAAUACCGCAUGAAGUCGCGAGACCAAAGUGGGGGACCUUCGGGCCUCACGCCUUCGGAUGAGCCCAGAUGAGAUUAGCUGGUAGGUAAGGUAAAGGCUUACCUAGGCGACGAUCUCUAGCGGGUCUGAGAGGAUAGCCCGCCACACUGGAACUGAGACACGGUCCAGACUCAUACGGGAGGCAGCAGUGGGGAAUAUUGCACAAUGGGCGAAAGCCUGAUGCAGCCAUGCYACGUGUGUGAAGAA